Molecule: ribosomal RNA, 465 nt
Filed under: uncultured bacterium
Lineage: Bacteria
Description: partial 16S ribosomal RNA
Rfam family: Bacterial small subunit ribosomal RNA
Source: RNAcentral
CCUACGGGUGGCAGCAGUGGGGAAUAUUGCGCAAUGGGCGAAAGCCUGACGCAGCGACGCCGCGUGAGGGAUGAAGGUCUUCGGAUCGUAAACCUCUGUCAGCAGGGAAGAACGGUCACUGUGCUAAUCAGCAGUGAAUUGACGGUACCUGACUAAGAAGCCCCGGCUAACUACGUGCCAGCAGCCGCGGUAAUACGUAGGGGGCAAGCGUUAUCCGGAUUUACUGGGUGGAAAGGGAGCGCAGACGGCUGUGCAAGUCUGGAGUGAAAGGCGGGGGCCCAACCCCCGGACUGCUCGGGAAACUGUAAAGCUGGAGUGCAGGAGAGGUAAGCGGAAUUCCUAGUGUAGCGGUGAAAUGCGUAGAUAUUAGGAGGAACACCAGUGGCGAAGGCGGCUUACUGGACUGCAACUGACGUUGAGGCUCGAAAGCGUGGGGAGCAAACAGGAUUAGAUACCCCUGUAGUC